RNAcentral lists this ribosomal RNA (373 nucleotides) under uncultured bacterium. RNAcentral's name for it is "bacterial SSU rRNA". It matches the Rfam family "Bacterial small subunit ribosomal RNA", at positions 525 to 896 of the family's 1533-position model. The record is from RNAcentral.
ACGUAGGGUGCGAGCGUUAAUCGGAAUUACUGGGCGUAAAGCGUGCGCAGGCGGUCUCGUAAGCUGGGUGUGAAAGCCCCGGGCUUAACCUGGGAAUGGCAUUCAGGACUGCGAGGCUCGAGUGUGGCAGAGGGAGGUGGAAUUCCACGUGUAGCAGUGAAAUGCGUAGAGAUGUGGAGGAACACCGAUGGCGAAGGCAGCCUCCUGGGCCAGCACUGACGCUCAUGCACGAAAGCGUGGGGAGCAAACAGGAUUAGAUACCCUGGUAGUCCACGCCCUAAACGAUGUCAACUGGUUGUUGGUGGGGUUAAACCCAUUAGUAACGAAGCUAACGCGUGAAGUUGACCGCCUGGGGAGUACGGCCGCAAGGUUA